UGAGGAAUAUUGGUCAAUGGGCGAGAGCCUGAACCAGCCAAGUCGCGUGAAGGAAGACAGUCCUAAGGAUUGUAAACUUCUUUUAUACGGGAAUAACGGGCGAUACGAGUAUUGCAUUGAAUGUACCGUAAGAAUAAGCAUCGGCUAACUCCGUGCCAGCAGCCGCGGUAAUACGGAGGAUGCGAGCGUUAUCCGGAUUUAUUGGGUUUAAAGGGUGCGUAGGUUGUUCGGUAAGUCAGCGGUGAAACCUGAGCGCUCAACGUUCAGCCUGCCGUGGAAACUGCCGGGCUUGAGUUCAGUGGCGGCAGGCGGAAUUCGUGGUGUAGCGGUGAAAUGCAUAGAUAUCACGAGGAACUCCGAUUGCGAAGGCAGCUUGCCAUACUGCGACUGACACUGAAGCACGAAGGCGUGGGUAUCAAACAGG
Molecule: ribosomal RNA, 424 nt
Filed under: Fusobacteriota bacterium
Lineage: Bacteria; Fusobacteriati; Fusobacteriota
Description: Fusobacteria bacterium partial 16S ribosomal RNA
Rfam family: Bacterial small subunit ribosomal RNA
Source: RNAcentral